Small nuclear RNA from Boleophthalmus pectinirostris (great blue-spotted mudskipper), 105 nucleotides. The record is from RefSeq and is a predicted model, not a curated record. NCBI's taxonomy places the organism in Eukaryota, Metazoa, Chordata, Actinopteri, Gobiiformes, Gobiidae.
GUGUUUGUUUACUAACACAUAUGUCAAAAUUGGAACGAUACAGAGAAGAUUAGCGUGCCCCUGCGCAAGGAUGACACGUACAAUCGUGAAGCGUUCUAAAUUUUU